This 444-nucleotide ribosomal RNA is filed under the name uncultured bacterium. RNAcentral's name for it is "partial 16S ribosomal RNA". It matches the Rfam family "Bacterial small subunit ribosomal RNA", at positions 354 to 796 of the family's 1533-position model. The record is from RNAcentral.
GUGAGGAAUAUUGGACAAUGGGCGCAAGCCUGAUCCAGCCAUGCCGCGUGCAGGAAGACGCAUCUAUGGUGUGUAAACUGCUUUUGUACGGGAAGAAACACUCCCUCGUGAGGGAGCUUGACAGUACCGUAAGAAUAAGGAUCGGCUAACUCCGUGCCAGCAGCCGCGGUAAUACGGAGGAUCCAAGCGUUAUCCGGAAUCAUUGGGUUUAAAGGGUCCGUAGGCGGUUUAAUAAGUCAGUGGUGAAAGCCCAUCGCUCAACGAUGGAACGGCCAUUGAUACUGUUAGACUUGAAUUACAAGGAAGUAACUAGAAUAUGUAGUGUAGCGGUGAAAUGCUUAGAUAUUACAUGGAAUACCAAUUGCGAAGGCAGGUUACUACUUGUGGAUUGACGCUGAUGGACGAAAGCGUGGGGAGCGAACAGGAUUAGAAACCGAGUAGUCC